This 1370-nucleotide ribosomal RNA is filed under the name uncultured bacterium. Its description in RNAcentral is "bacterial SSU rRNA". It matches the Rfam family "Bacterial small subunit ribosomal RNA", at positions 28 to 1381 of the family's 1533-position model. The record is from RNAcentral.
GAUGAACGCUGGCGGCGUGCCUAAUACAUGCAAGUCGAGCGAACGGACGAGAAGCUUGCUUUUCUGAUGUUAGCGGCGGACGGGUGAGUAACACGUGGAUAACCUACCUAUAAGACUGGGAUAACUUCGGGAAACCGGAGCUAAUACCGGAUAAUAUUUUGAACCGCAUGGUUCAAAAGUGAAAGACGGUCUUGCUGUCACUUAUAGAUGGAUCCGCGCUGCAUUAGCUAGUUGGUAAGGUAACGGCUUACCAAGGCAACGAUGCAUAGCCGACCUGAGAGGGUGAUCGGCCACACUGGAACUGAGACACGGUCCAGACUCCUACGGGAGGCAGCAGUAGGGAAUCUUCCGCAAUGGGCGAAAGCCUGACGGAGCAACGCCGCGUGAGUGAUGAAGGUCUUCGGAUCGUAAAACUCUGUUAUUAGGGAAGAACAUAUGUGUAAGUAACUGUGCACAUCUUGACGGUACCUAAUCAGAAAGCCACGGCUAACUACGUGCCAGCAGCCGCGGUAAUACGUAGGUGGCAAGCGUUAUCCGGAAUUAUUGGGCGUAAAGCGCGCGUAGCGGUUUUUUAGUCUGAUGUGAAAGCCCACGGCUCAACCGUGGAGGGUCAUUGGAAACUGGAAAACUUGAGUGCAGAAGAGGAAAGUGGAAUUCCAUGUGUAGCGGUGAAAUGCGCAGAGAUAUGGAGGAACACCAGUGGCGAAGGCGACUUUCUGGUCUGUAACUGACGCUGAUGUGCGAAAGCGUGGGGAUCAAACAGGAUUAGAUACCCUGGUAGUCCACGCCGUAAACGAUGAGUGCUAAGUGUUAGGGGGUUUCCGCCCCUUAGUGCUGCAGCUAACGCAUUAAGCACUCCGCCUGGGGAGUACGACCGCAAGGUUGAAACUCAAAGGAAUUGACGGGGACCCGCACAAGCGGUGGAGCAUGUGGUUUAAUUCGAAGCAACGCGAAGAACCUUACCAAAUCUUGACAUCCUUUGACAACUCUAGAGAUAGAGCCUUCCCCUUCGGGGGACAAAGUGACAGGUGGUGCAUGGUUGUCGUCAGCUCGUGUCGUGAGAUGUUGGGUUAAGUCCCGCAACGAGCGCAACCCUUAAGCUUAGUUGCCAUCAUUAAGUUGGGCACUCUAAGUUGACUGCCGGUGACAAACCGGAGGAAGGUGGGGAUGACGUCAAAUCAUCAUGCCCCUUAUGAUUUGGGCUACACACGUGCUACAAUGGGCAAUACAAAGGGCAGCGAAACCGCGAGGUCAAGCAAAUCCCAUAAAGUUGUUCUCAGUUCGGAUUGUAGUCUGCAACUCGACUACAUGAAGCUGGAAUCGCUAGUAAUCGUAGAUCAGCAUGCUACGGUGAAUACGUUCCCGGGUCU